Molecule: small nucleolar RNA, 105 nt
Filed under: Theobroma cacao (cacao)
Lineage: Eukaryota; Viridiplantae; Streptophyta; Magnoliopsida; Malvales; Malvaceae
Description: Plant small nucleolar RNA R71
Rfam family: Plant small nucleolar RNA R71
About the family: R71 is a member of the C/D box family of snoRNAs containing the C (UGAUGA) and D (CUGA) box motifs. Multiple nearly identical copies of this snoRNA have been identified in Arabidopsis, and it is thought to function as a 2'-O-ribose methylation guide for 18S ribosomal RNA.
Source: Rfam by way of RNAcentral
AGCCCAUGGUGCAGACAUCUUCUAAGUAAAUCCUUAAAUCUCUUAAGCUUCAUACAAGGAUUCACCAUCAAAUUGUGUAAAAGCAAUUAUAUCAUUCCUCAUCUU